UGCCAGAUAGCGGCGCAGCUGAUCAGCAUGCCGCGUGCAGAGAAGGCCUUCGGGUUGUAAACUGCUUUUGUACGGAACGAAACGGUCCUGGUUAAUACCCGGGGCUAAUGACGGUACCGUACGAAUAAGCACCGGCUAACUACGUGCCAGCAGCCGCGGUAAU
This 163-nucleotide ribosomal RNA is filed under the name uncultured freshwater bacterium. RNAcentral's name for it is "partial 16S ribosomal RNA". It matches the Rfam family "Bacterial small subunit ribosomal RNA", at positions 359 to 524 of the family's 1533-position model. The record is from RNAcentral.